RNAcentral lists this long non-coding RNA (565 nucleotides) under Homo sapiens (human). RNAcentral describes it as "HSALNT0100123". The record is from RNAcentral. Lineage: Eukaryota; Metazoa; Chordata; Mammalia; Primates; Hominidae.
GCCUUUGCCGGCCCCGCGGCACCAGAAGUUGGGCUGGUCCAGGAGGAACGAGUCCGAGAACUGGCUGAAGCCGAUGAACAGCGCCGGGAUCCAGGUACCCUACGCGAAGGAAGGAUCAUUGCACCAUUACGGAGACGAGGAUACAAACUGUCAGGCCUCUGAGCCCAAGCUAAGCCAUCACAUCUCCUGUGACCUGCACAUAUACAUCCAGAUGACCUGAAGCAAAUGAAGAACCACAAAAAAUAACAUUCCACCAUUGUGAUCUGUUCCUACCCACCCUAACUGAUCAAUUGACCUUAUGACAAUACCCCCUCCCCGCCCUUGCAAUAAUAUACUUUGUCAUACUCCCCCGCCCUUAAGAAGGUACUUUGUAAUAUUCUCCCCGCCCUUGAGAAUGUACUUUGUGAGAUCCACCCCCUGCCUAUAAAAAAUUGCUCCUAACUCCACCGCCUAUCCCAAACCUAUAAGAACUAAUGAUAAUCCCAGCACCCUUUGCUGACUCCUUUCUUGGACACAGCCUGCUUGCACCCAGGUGAAAUAAACAGCCUUGUUGCUCACACAAAGC